RNAcentral lists this long non-coding RNA (209 nucleotides) under Brassica rapa (field mustard). RNAcentral's name for it is "long non-coding RNA (BRAP_LNC001254)". Lineage: Eukaryota; Viridiplantae; Streptophyta; Magnoliopsida; Brassicales; Brassicaceae. The record is from RNAcentral.
CUUGAUCCAAUGGCGCCGUUUGGAACUCACAUCCUUUGGGAACUUGUACCCUUUAGACUCACGUACCAAUUCAGAUGUCCCAACCGUUGAUCUAACCGUCCAUAUGGACUGUCUGAUCCGUGCGUGUGUCCGGCCUAUGGCCAAAGGACCACGCCUUGUUACUACACAUUACAUGAACCAUCGUGACUAUUCAGGGAAGGGUUGCAAAC